RNAcentral lists this ribosomal RNA (544 nucleotides) under fungal endophyte. RNAcentral's name for it is "eukaryotic LSU rRNA". The stretch from base 179 to 332 matches the Rfam family "5.8S ribosomal RNA". Lineage: Eukaryota; Fungi. The record is from RNAcentral.
UAAAGAGUUCUAUAACUCCCAAACCCAUGUGAACAUACCUAACGUUGCCUCGGCAGGUCGCACCUACCUUGUAGCACCCUACCCUGUAGGGCCUACCCGGGAGAUGCGGGUAAGCCUGCCGGCGGCCCACCAAACUCUGUUUGAUAUUGAAUUCUGAACAUAUAACUAAAUAAGUUAAAACUUUCAACAACGGAUCUCUUGGUUCUGGCAUCGAUGAAGAACGCAGCGAAAUGCGAUAAGUAAUGUGAAUUGCAGAAUUCAGUGAAUCAUCGAAUCUUUGAACGCAUAUUGCGCCCAUUAGUAUUCUAGUGGGCAGGACCGUUCGAGCGUCAUUUCGACCCUUAAGCCUUAGUUGCUUAGUGUUGGGAGCCUACGGCAACGUAGCUCCUCAAAGUUAGUGGCGGAGUUGGUUCACACUCUAGACGUAGUAAUUUUUUAUCUCGCCUAUUAGUUGGACUGAUCCCCUGCCGUAAAACCCCCAACUUAUCAAGGUUGACCUCGAAUCGGUUCAGACAAACUCGCUAAAUUGAAGCAUCUUAGUCAG